Long non-coding RNA from Esox lucius (northern pike), 358 nucleotides. RefSeq lists it as uncharacterized. Lineage: Eukaryota; Metazoa; Chordata; Actinopteri; Esociformes; Esocidae. The record is from RefSeq and is a predicted model, not a curated record. The transcript has 3 exons.
CCGAAAGUUGUCAAUUGGAGGACGUUGACGAGGGAAAUUCCAAUCCCUGGACAGAGUUCCAUUUAAAUUUGAAAUAGGCAACAUAGUCAUCAUGAAAUGCUGUAUUUUUAUUCCAAAAGACCCAACCAUCUACGCUUUCAAAAACUCAUUAUGAUAGCUCCGCAAGCACAUAGAGGUGUACUCGCCAGCAUCUCCCUUCUCUACAGCACCCAACACCACUCGACGAGUCCUGUCAUGUGUUUCCAUGUGGACUGUCUCGCUGGAUGUCAGAGGAGUACUGUCCCUCAUCACUUUUCUUGGCGUUCUUGAUGAUCAGUGACCUCUGUGUCCCUUUGGAGACAAUGGUGGUUCUUUGGUC